UGCUCCUGCCAAGGCCCAUUCUCUCAAGGAAAAUUAUAGCAAAUAGAAUUGGACUGGGAAGUUGCUAGUUAUUAGUAUUCAUCCCACAUUCUAACCUAAUUACAAGGAGAUUGUUUUGGCCAUGGGCAGUCAUUUCAGGUUUUGUUUUCCUGCUUGCCUCCUCCACCUCCACCUGUCUUCCUAGAGGCCCAAGUCAAGGUUAUUGCAAUAGCACUGAACACUGUGUAACACCGGUACAGGCAAAUUAACCUUUGGGGACGGGACCGCGCUCACUGUGAAGCCAACCUCAUGUAGCUAAAGACUAUCACACUAGACAGCGUGGUCUAGACCCUCUCCAGGCUGACAGCCGCUGGCUCUAGGAUCUGAGUGAGAGUUUAACCAGGACUCAAAGUCAGGUAUCCGGCCCCCAUAACAACCCGUUUCUCCCUCUGAAGUCAACCUGUGUCUGGUAACAGCUUUCUUGAGGCCACAUUCUCUCAGCACCUCCACACCCUUCCACAUCACCCUCUCUGGUCCCACCCAUGACUCCCACUAAUGACUGACACAUCCACUGGGGUGUGGUAUUAGCUAAUGGCUUCCGGUCUCUCCCCUCCCAGUAAAAGAUUUCUGCCAUAAAUCUUUAACCCACAGUGAUGUCGUCCUCUCGGGCACAUGGAGAUUGGAGGGGAGCAGGCAGAAUCCUUUGAAGCCAAAGCUUUGGGAGUUGCUCACAUGUGACCAUAGACAACCCCACCCAUAGGCAGCUCUGCCUUGAUUCAGCAUCCCAAGGCCAUGCCAAGGGCUGAUUCCCCUGGUUUUCAUCCAGAUGGAUAUCUGCAUUUCCAAGGCCACCCUGACUGGCUCAGCACACGGGGGGCGUCAUGUAUCACUGGUCUGCAAGAUUUUGCCUGUGUGGUGAGAAGCUAGGGGAGCAGAGAACCACGGCCCCGGAAGCUGCCAUCCCAGCCCUGCUGUAAACUUGCUGGGUGGCCCCAACGUGUUAAUCCUCCUAAUAAACCUCUGCUUCCUCCUCCAAAGGCAGGAGGUCUGAAAGAAUAAACCCUGAGGGUUGCUUUAAAAACACAGAAUCCCAUGAAAAUACUGAGGAGUCAUUCUCAGCACUAAAGAAAAGCCUCCAGCUGCUCCUUGCUUUCCCUGGACGGAAGAGUAGAAACUGUAUUACUGGGUAGCGCAGUUAUCAUGGCAAUCUCCUGGUAGUAUCAAGAGCUGCAAUUACUAAAUUAUUUCAGUUUAUUAAGUAUAACUUUACAUGGAGAAACUCUCAUGGCUUCUCAGAAGAGCCUGGUCAGGAAAAAGAAU
Odocoileus virginianus texanus is the source of this 1299-nucleotide non-coding RNA. The record is from RefSeq and is a predicted model, not a curated record. NCBI's taxonomy places the organism in Eukaryota, Metazoa, Chordata, Mammalia, Artiodactyla, Cervidae.